Molecule: long non-coding RNA, 2725 nt
Organism: Amphiprion ocellaris (clown anemonefish)
Lineage: Eukaryota; Metazoa; Chordata; Actinopteri; Pomacentridae
Source: Ensembl
GACUUCCUGCUCACAGUUGAUAGAUUUGCUGAUGGACCCUAAAGCGAAGCACUAAAUAUCAGUGAAGUGUUUUUUUAGGCUCUAAAGCAAAGAUACGUGCAGAGAGAAAGAAAGAAAAAAUGAAGGAUUCCACAGUAUUUCUAUGAUUUUAUACUUUUAGACUGAACAGUUUAUAACUUUGGACUGGUUUUGAAUUGGUUAUGGACAGGUUUUGGACUGAUCUUCAACUGGUUGUAGGGUUUGAAAUAGCUUUGGGCCUGGUUUUAAAUUGGGUUUGUCCUUUGUGUUGGACUGAUUUUGGAUUAGUUUGGCCCUCAUUUUGAACUGGAUUGGACUGUUAUUGGCCAUGUUUUUGGACUGGUUGUAGGUUGGUUUAGGGCUAGUGUUUGACUUUUUUUUGUACUUGUUUUGAAUUGGAUAUGGACCAAUUUUGGGCUAGAUCUAGAUUGGUUUUAGACCGAUCUUGAUCUUGGUUUUGGAUUGGAUUUAGUCUGGUUUUGCACUUAGUUUUGGACUGGUUUUAAACAGGCUGUGGAUUGGUAUUAGGACAGUUGUAGACUUGGUUUUCAACUGGUUUUAAUCUUGGUUUUGCAUUGUUUUGAACUUGGUUUAAGGCUUGUUUUGAACUGGCUGGGGCUUAGUUUUAGAAAGGUUUUGGCAUAGGUUUUUGAGUGGUUUUGGAAAUGGGUUUGACCUGGUUUUAGACUAAUUUUGACUUGAUAUUGACUGGUUGUAAACUUGGGGUAAAACUGAUUUUGCACUGGUUGUGGACUCGGGGUUUGGAGUGAUUUUAGACAUGUUUUGGACUGGUUGAGGAUUGGUGUUAGACAAUUUUUGGACUGGUUUUGGAUGUGGUUUAAAAUUAGCUUUCCCUUUUGUUUUGGACUGAUUUUUUUAGCUCUGGUUUUAGCUUAGUUUUGACUUGGGUUUGGACUGAAUUUAGAGAAGUUUUAGGCUGAUUUUGGACUUAGUUUUGGACCAGUUUGUACUUAGUUGGAUUGGACUUGGUUGGUUUUGAACUGGUUUUCAUGUUGAGAUGGGAACGGUUUGGACUUGGUUUUAGAAAGGUUGUGGAAUUGGGUUUUAGACUGGUUUCAGAUUGAUUUUGGACUGGCUAUGUGUUGAUUAUGGACUUGGGUUUGGACUGAUUUUAGAUGGGUUGUGGACUGGUUUUGGAAUGGUUUUGGUGGUGACAUACACUUUGCAUUCAUGGGGCAGAUGACGUAUGUUUUAGUAGAAUCAUUACAUGAACAAACAGAUCUGGUCUGUUUGUGGCUGUAAAAUGAGUGAACUGUUCAGUGAGUUUCUGCUGCUGCUCUGAGCUGCUUCUGCAUCACUGGGUCAGUGUGGAAGUUCAGUAUUUCAGCUUCAUUUAACUCCACAUAAACACUCCACACUGAGGACAUGAUUUAUUAGACUUGCAAAUGAUCAUUUAACACGCUGGCUUCAAAGAUACAUUUUAUUGCAUAAUGACCCCGCUGUUCUCCACAACCCAAAGAUUCCCAAAGGACACAUUUGGACGUCCGUUCUUCCAUUUAGCUGCUGUGUUUACAUACAUGAAUCGAGCUUUAAUAUGCCGACGUUCUGCUGCAGCCGUAAUAAGCGAUUUCCAAAACAAACCCAGAUUAUGAAAGAAAAGGCGACUGGCGAGGAAACUGUUCAUUUCCAGGCUGGCAGACGGUUUGGGCAGAUUCCUUGUUGAACCAUAAAACAUCUCUGUGUGUUUCUACGGGCAAAGAUACGAUUAGGUCAACCUCACGGUGUCACACAAUCCUUUCAAAUCUGGCACAGAGCUGCAGCCAUUGAGGGAAUCAGUGGAAACAGUCCUGACAGUGUGGUUGACUGUGAUCAGCUCAGGCUCUAUAAUCAGCACUGAUUGCUUCCUUUCACUUUGCAGCUCAACACUUCGUGCAUCUUAAUUGCAAUUAGGUGUCUCCUGGAAUAAAAGCGGCUUGGAGUGGCUGACAGAUGGAUGAUAAUGCAACACGCCGCUCUGUUUGUGUAUAUGUGUGAGUGUAUGUGGAUUUACAAGAUGCUGCUCACACACUAGAGUGCUGCUAUUGGUAUUGAUGGUACAUUUACAUGAGGUGCGUAUGGAGGCUACAGCAGGUUCUGGCAGAAACAUUAGCAUCCCCUUUCUUUUAGUAAGAUGUUUAUUUAAGAAACAAAGAGCAAAAAUCUAAAGCUGCAUGUAGCAUUUUAUCAAAAUGAAACCCAAGACUAAAAUCUGUACAUAACAAAAAGCAAAACCAGUUCAAAAUAAAUCACAAAGCAAGUCUAGAAAGCACAAAACCAGUCUAAAAUCAGUACAAAAUGAGGCCCAAAACCAAGUCUAAAACCAAAUCUAAAACAAAACCAGUUCAGAACCAGUCCAAAACCAGUCUAAAAUUUGUUCAAAACUCAGUUCAGAACCAGCAUAAAAUCAAUCUAAGACAAGUCCAAACCAGUCAAAGACCAGUCCAACCCAGCCUAAAACCAGUAAUAAUAAUAAUGAUAAUACAUUUUUUUUGUAAGCGCCUUUCUUGACACCCAAAGUCACUUUACAGUAAAAACACAUGCAACAAAACAGAUAAAAACCAUACAAAAAGAUAAAAACCAUACAAAAAGAUAAAAACCAUACAUAAAGAACAAGGCAGCUACAGAGAGUAAGUAGUCCUGACCAAUAUUCCCUCUAAUUUUUCAUGAGUCUGAGCAAACACACAAACUCCCUGAGCGUCCCUUGGAC